This 1089-nucleotide ribosomal RNA is filed under the name uncultured bacterium. Its description in RNAcentral is "bacterial SSU rRNA". It matches the Rfam family "Bacterial small subunit ribosomal RNA", at positions 62 to 1203 of the family's 1533-position model. The record is from RNAcentral.
UCGAACGAAAGUUUUUAACUUUAGUGGCGAACGGGUGCGUAAUACGUGAGAAUCUGCCCUUAGGAGAAGAAUAACUGCUGGAAACGGCUGCUAAAUCUUCAUAUGCCGAGAGGUGAAAUAGUUUAGGCUGCCUAAGGAUGAGCUCACGCCUGAUUAGCUAGUUGGUAAGGUAAUGGCUUACCAAGGCCACGAUCAGUAGCUGGUUUGAGAGAACGAUCAGCCACACUGGGACUGAGACACGGCCCAGACUCCUCCGGGAGGCAGCAGUGAGGAAUUUUCCGCAAUGGGCGAAAGCCUGACGGAGCAAUACCGCGUGAGGGAUGAAGGAUUUUGGUCUGUAAACCUCUUUUCUCAAGAAAGAAGUUCUGACGGUACUUGAGGAAUAAGCAUCGGCUAACUCCGUGCCAGCAGCCGCGGUAAUACGGGGGAUGCAAGCGUUAUCCGGAAUCAUUGGGCGUAAAGCGCCUGUAGGUUGUUUACUAAGUCUGUUGUUAAAGACUAGGGCUUAACCCUAGAAAAGCAAUGGAAACUUGUAGACUAGAGUAUGGCAGGGGUAGAGGGAAUUUCUAGUGUAGCGGUGAAAUGAGUAGAUAUUAGAAAGAACACCAGUGGCGAAAGCGCUCUACUGGACCAUUACUGACACUCAGAGGCGAAAGCUAGGGUAGCAAAAGGGAUUAGAUACCCCUGUAGUCCUAGCCGUAAACGAUGGAUACUAGAUGUUGUGCAUAGUACAGUAUCGUAGCUAACGCGUUAAGUAUCCCGCCUGGGGAGUACGCUCGCAAGGGUGAAACUCAAAGGAAUUGACGGGGGCCCGCACAAGCGGUGGAGCAUGUGGUUUAAUUCGAUGCAACGCGAAGAACCUUACCAGGGCUUGACAUACUACAGAUUCCUUUGAGAAAAGGAAGUGCCUUCGGGAAUGUAGAUACAGGUGGUGCAUGGCUGUCGUCAGCUCGUGUCGUGAGAUGUUGGGUUAAGUCCCGCAACGAGCGCAACCCUUAUUUUUAGUUACCAAUUCGUUGGGUUUUUUAGAAAGACUGCCGGUGACAAACCGGAGGAAGGUGAGGAUGACGUCAAGUCAGCAUGCCCCUU